Macaca mulatta (Rhesus monkey) is the source of this 107-nucleotide small nuclear RNA. NCBI's taxonomy places the organism in Eukaryota, Metazoa, Chordata, Mammalia, Primates, Cercopithecidae. The record is from Ensembl.
GUGCUCGCUUCGGCAGCACAUAUACAAAAAUUAGAAUGAUACAGAGAAGAUUAGUAUGGCCCCUGUGCAAGGGUGACACGCAAAUUCAUGAAGUGUUCCAUAUAAAA